GCCACUUGUGGCUUAGGGGAAGAGUAAUAGCUUUGCAAAUAGAAGGUCCCAGGUUCAAUCCCUGGCAUCUUCUGGUAGGGCU
Molecule: non-coding RNA, 82 nt
Organism: Podarcis lilfordi (Lilford's wall lizard)
Lineage: Eukaryota; Metazoa; Chordata; Lepidosauria; Squamata; Lacertidae
Source: the annotation of a GenBank genome assembly